This is a non-coding RNA of Henosepilachna vigintioctopunctata, 73 nucleotides long. NCBI's taxonomy places the organism in Eukaryota, Metazoa, Arthropoda, Insecta, Coleoptera, Coccinellidae. The record is from the annotation of a GenBank genome assembly.
GUCUCCGUGGUUUAGUCGGGAUAACAUCCGACUAUGGUGCGGUAGAACUCGGGUUCGAACCCCGCUGAAAACA